GACACUGAACAUGCAGUUUGUUUCGACAGACACCAUUUAAAGUAUAAAAACACCUGUCGGAUGGACGCAGGCUGUUAGACCAGACACUCUCCCAGACGACUGUGACCCUCACCUCGUCUCAAACCGGAAGAGGAUUUUGGUUUGAAAAACAAGCAUGACCUUUCGCCGCAGCAUCUUCAGGGCAGGUGAAUGGAUGACAGAUGACGUCUCACGCUGAUGCAGGGAGACUAAGUAAUGGCGUUCUUAUCCGACCUGCCAGCGUCUGCCCUCUUCUUACGCCAGCAGCGCUGACAAAAGGGCGACAGCGUCUCUGUGCGGACAUGGUCAUCAUGCGGCCCUGGACUCACGGUCAGACGGGAGGAAGAGGAGCCGCACUGAGAGGAAACAAGAGGAGGAGCAGGACGAGGGAGAGGAGGAGGAGGAUGGGGUUCUAUUGGGUUCUAUUUGGAUUGAAGUCCAUUAUUUCCACGGGUGGAUCGUGAAAGAACAGGAAGUAAAGACUACUGCCGAGAACGUGUUGAUGGAUG
Long non-coding RNA from Synchiropus splendidus (mandarinfish), 527 nucleotides. RefSeq lists it as uncharacterized. The transcript has 5 exons. Lineage: Eukaryota; Metazoa; Chordata; Actinopteri; Syngnathiformes; Callionymidae. The record is from RefSeq and is a predicted model, not a curated record.